Callithrix jacchus (white-tufted-ear marmoset) is the source of this 1650-nucleotide long non-coding RNA. NCBI's taxonomy places the organism in Eukaryota, Metazoa, Chordata, Mammalia, Primates, Cebidae. The record is from Ensembl.
CAGAGAUUGCAGCAGAUUACCACACUUUUUAUUUGUUGACUAGCUGCAAGAAGAAAUAUCAUUUCCCUUUUUCUUUCCACUUUUAUGCAAGAGGGAAAAGUGAGAGAAGAAAUGAGUUCUGAAUGAUCUAGGUUAGGAUUCUGCCAAGACUACAAACACUGACACACGAUCAUUUGUUUCAGUUAUCAGAUGAAAUUCAGAAAGGGGGUCACACAGUUCAAAUACAGCCUUUAAAAUUAAAUCAGAAGGUUGUCCCCAUUUCAACACUUUCUGGGGAAAAUUCUGUUUUAUCCUGGUUGCAUGUUGAUUCAUCUUGUCUGCUAAAGCUGCUUCAUUUUUCUCUCUAGGGGCUUCUUCAUUCUGGAGAAAUGACUGCAGACUUUAGGCAUCUUCCCUUAUCUUUCUCUUUCGUCCUUGAAAUUCAUUCUUUGGCUCUGAUCUGUGGAUGGGCAAACUUAAUGGGCCUACCAGUAAGCAUCCUGGAUCACUUCCCCACCUGGUCCCUCUGAAUCUGGGAAUGAUUAUGGCAAUGAGGCUGGAACAACAUGUAUUAGAAGUGAACAGCAUCACUGAGAAUUUAGAGACUGUGUCUAGUUUGGAAGAACCCAAGGGAACUUCACAAAAAGUAAUCAGAAGCAACCACUGAAACUACACAAUGAAGAUAUUGGAGCUACCAUUAUGCUGGGGCCCUUGAAUGGAACAGAGUAUUCUUCCCUUUCUAUCAACAACCUGUCCCAUUCCAACAAUUAAUGAUUGAAUAUAUGAAUGGGAAGUAUGCUUCCAUUUCACAAGCCACGGAUACUUUGGAAUUUAUUAGUUGUACAGAGGGAAUUUUGAAUGUAGCCAAUACAAUUGAACUUACACUACUUUCAAAAUAAAUCACCUCUUUUAAAACAAACAAAUGGAAAGCAUUAUUUUCUUUAGAACUUUAAAGAAUGUCUUAUUUUUCCUUUCAUGAAUCUUGACACAGGUACACAUCUAUGACAAGCAAAAGGUUGUGUUUUGCUUUAAAAGUGUUAAAUUUUGUUUUUGUUUAUGAUAAGUGCCUAGAACAUAUUUUUAACAGUCUAAACAUAAUUUUAUGUCUAUAGAAAAUGAGGUCAUGCAGAAAUAGGUACUCUGCUCCAUCCAUGAUGAUUAAAAAAAAAACCCUUAGCAGGGUUAGACACAGAAUAAAUCUCAUGCACUCUUAAGUGACUACAUUUAUCCCCAGGAUCUUUCUGGUAUUUCAAUUAAACCAACUGAUUUCUCCAGGUUGAUAAAACUGAAAUUUAGGAUAACAGUUCCCCUUUUCACUUUUUUUCUUAUGAAAGGUGAAUAAUAACAUUUUCAAUGCCCUAUUUUUAACUGGACAAAAAUGUUUACACCUGUCUGGAGAGGUGAAGCCCCUCCUCAACUCUACUUGGGUUCAAGUGCCUGCACCAGUACUCACCAUCUUUUUCCUCCUUUGCUGAGGUCACCUUGAUCCCACUGCCACAGCUCUACUGGUAGUUCCACUUCCGUCUCCUUUUAUCCUCACUCAAAAUUUCUCAGGCAUGAUUUACCUUCAUAUUUGUGGAUUUUCUAAAGGAAAUUUUCUAAACACAGACUACUCCUUCUAACAUGCCAGAAUCUUUGGAAUUUAGUACACCUCUUUCACUUGAGUUACUC